Molecule: long non-coding RNA, 782 nt
Organism: Gasterosteus aculeatus aculeatus (three-spined stickleback)
Lineage: Eukaryota; Metazoa; Chordata; Actinopteri; Perciformes; Gasterosteidae
Source: Ensembl
CCUCCUCCUUUUCCGAUCUUGCAGUGGAACAGGCAGAAAAGCUGCUGCAGCGACGUCCCACCGCUCUGCAUCAAAGGAAAGAAGCAGCACCACGAUCCCGACCAAAGACCCAGUUCACAUUCAUCUAGAAGAAGCUCCAUCCAUCAGAUCCCUGCCGUCUCCUUCCUGCAGCGCUGGUUGUCGAUGUGAAACCUCUGGACCUGCAGCAGAGACACCAUGAGGGACUAGGACCAGCGUCGUCAAUCGUUGUAAAGGUGUCACUAUUAUACACACAUACACACACACACAUAUAUAUAUAUAUAUAUAUAUGUGUGUGUGUGUCAAUACCAAGAGGAGGAACCAGAGAGGAAGAACCAAGAGAAGGAACCAAGAGACGGAACCAAGAGGAGGAACCAGAGAGGAAGAACCAAGAGAAGGAACCAAGAGACGGAACCAAGAGGAGGAACCAGAGAGGAAGAACCAAGAGGAGGAACCAAGAGAUGGAACCAAGAGGAGGAACCAGAGAGGAAGAACCAAGAGGAGGAACCAAGAAGAGGAACCAAGAGGAGGAACCAGAGAGGAAGAACCAAGAGGAGGAACCAAGAAGAGGAACCAAGAGGAGGAACCAGAGAGGAAGAACCAAGAGGAGGAACCAAGAAGAGGAACCACAGAGGAGCUAAGUAGGAGCAUAGAAGCUCCUUUCCUCAGCACUAGAGAAUAGAACAGCUCUCCUCUUCACUCGGUGAGGAACGUUCCUAAGAACAAGAAACAAAGCAGCUCUCUGCUGAACUCUGAGAUGAAAC